RNAcentral lists this ribosomal RNA (781 nucleotides) under Calonectria californiensis. RNAcentral's name for it is "partial large subunit ribosomal RNA". It matches the Rfam family "Eukaryotic large subunit ribosomal RNA", at positions 76 to 889 of the family's 3401-position model. Lineage: Eukaryota; Fungi; Ascomycota; Sordariomycetes; Hypocreales; Nectriaceae. The record is from RNAcentral.
UGCCCUAGUAACGGCGAGUGAAGCGGCAACAGCUCAAAUUUGAAAUCUGGCCCUCGGGUCCGAGUUGUAAUUUGUAGAGGAUGCUUUUGGUGAGGUACCUUCCGAGUUCCCUGGAACGGGACGCCAUAGAGGGUGAGAGCCCCGUCUGGUUGGAUACCGAUCCUCUGUAAAGCUCCUUCGACGAGUCGAGUAGUUUGGGAAUGCUGCUCUAAAUGGGAGGUAUAUGUCUUCUAAAGCUAAAUAUUGGCCAGAGACCGAUAGCGCACAAGUAGAGUGAUCGAAAGAUGAAAAGCACUUUGAAAAGAGAGUUAAAAAGUACGUGAAAUUGUUGAAAGGGAAGCGCUUAUGACCAGACUUGGACUUGGUUGAUCAUCCUGGGUUCUCCCUGGUGCACUCUUCCAGUUCAGGCCAGCAUCAGUUCGCUGCGGGGGAUAAAAGUUUUGGGAAUGUGGCUCCCUCGGGAGUGUUAUAGCCCAUUGCAUAAUACCCUGCUCCGGACUGAGGUUCGCGCAUCUGCAAGGAUGCUGGCGUAAUGGUCAUCAGCGACCCGUCUUGAAACACGGACCAAGGAGUCGUCUUCGUAUGCGAGUGUUCGGGUGUUAAACCCCUACGCGUAAUGAAAGUGAACGCAGGUGAGAGCUUCGGCGCAUCAUCGACCGAUCCUGAUGUUCUCGGAUGGAUUUGAGUAAGAGCAUACGGGGCCGGACCCGAAAGAAGGUGAACUAUGCCUGUAUAGGGUGAAGCCAGAGGAAACUCUGGUGGAGGCUCGCAGCGGUUCUGA